This 2902-nucleotide ribosomal RNA is filed under the name Klebsiella pneumoniae. Its description in RNAcentral is "23S ribosomal RNA". It matches the Rfam family "Bacterial large subunit ribosomal RNA". Lineage: Bacteria; Pseudomonadati; Pseudomonadota; Gammaproteobacteria; Enterobacterales; Enterobacteriaceae. The record is from RNAcentral.
GGUUAAGCGACUAAGCGUACACGGUGGAUGCCCUGGCAGUCAGAGGCGAUGAAGGACGUGCUAAUCUGCGAAAAGCGUCGGUAAGGUGAUAUGAACCGUUAUAGCCGGCGAUGUCCGAAUGGGGAAACCCAGUGUGAUUCGUCACACUAUCGUUAACUGAAUACAUAGGUUAACGAGGCGAACCGGGGGAACUGAAACAUCUAAGUACCCCGAGGAAAAGAAAUCAACCGAGAUUCCCCCAGUAGCGGCGAGCGAACGGGGAGCAGCCCAGAGUCUGAAUCAGCUUGUGUGUUAGUGGAACGGUCUGGAAAGUCCGACGGUACAGGGUGAUAGUCCCGUACACCAAAAUGCACAGGCUGUGAACUCGAAGAGUAGGGCGGGACACGUGGUAUCCUGUCUGAAUAUGGGGGGACCAUCCUCCAAGGCUAAAUACUCCUGACUGACCGAUAGUGAACCAGUACCGUGAGGGAAAGGCGAAAAGAACCCCGGCGAGGGGAGUGAAAAAGAACCUGAAACCGUGUACGUACAAGCAGUGGGAGCACCUUCGGGUGUGACUGCGUACCUUUUGUAUAAUGGGUCAGCGACUUAUAUUCUGUAGCAAGGUUAACCGUAUAGGGGAGCCGCAGGGAAACCGAGUCUUAACUGGGCGUUAAGUUGCAGGGUAUAGACCCGAAACCCGGUGAUCUAGCCAUGGGCAGGUUGAAGGUUGGGUAACACUAACUGGAGGACCGAACCGACUAAUGUUGAAAAAUUAGCGGAUGACUUGUGGCUGGGGGUGAAAGGCCAAUCAAACCGGGAGAUAGCUGGUUCUCCCCGAAAGCUAUUUAGGUAGCGCCUCGUGAACUCAUCUUCGGGGGUAGAGCACUGUUUCGGCUAGGGGGUCAUCCCGACUUACCAACCCGAUGCAAACUACGAAUACCGAAGAAUGUUAUCACGGGAGACACACGGCGGGUGCUAACGUCCGUCGUGAAGAGGGAAACAACCCAGACCGCCAGCUAAGGUCCCAAAGUCAUGGUUAAGUGGGAAACGAUGUGGGAAGGCACAGACAGCCAGGAUGUUGGCUUAGAAGCAGCCAUCAUUUAAAGAAAGCGUAAUAGCUCACUGGUCGAGUCGGCCUGCGCGGAAGAUGUAACGGGGCUAAACCAUGCACCGAAGCUGCGGCAGCGACACUAUGUGUUGUUGGGUAGGGGAGCGUUCUGUAAGCCUGCGAAGGUGUGCUGUGAGGCAUGCUGGAGGUAUCAGAAGUGCGAAUGCUGACAUAAGUAACGAUAAAGCGGGUGAAAAGCCCGCUCGCCGGAAGACCAAGGGUUCCUGUCCAACGUUAAUCGGGGCAGGGUGAGUCGACCCCUAAGGCGAGGCCGAAAGGCGUAGUCGAUGGGAAACAGGUUAAUAUUCCUGUACUUGGUGUUACUGCGAAGGGGGGACGGAGAAGGCUAUGUUAGCCGGGCGACGGUUGUCCCGGUUUAAGCAUGUAGGCUGGUUGUCCAGGCAAAUCCGGAUAAUCAAGGCUGAGGUGUGAUGACGAGGCACUACGGUGCUGAAGUAACAAAUGCCCUGCUUCCAGGAAAAGCCUCUAAGCAUCAGGUAACAUCAAAUCGUACCCCAAACCGACACAGGUGGUCAGGUAGAGAAUACCAAGGCGCUUGAGAGAACUCGGGUGAAGGAACUAGGCAAAAUGGUGCCGUAACUUCGGGAGAAGGCACGCUGGUGUGUAGGUGAAGUCCCUGCGGAUGGAGCUGAGACCAGUCGAAGAUACCAGCUGGCUGCAACUGUUUAUUAAAAACACAGCACUGUGCAAACACGAAAGUGGACGUAUACGGUGUGACGCCUGCCCGGUGCCGGAAGGUUAAUUGAUGGGGUUAUCCGUAAGGAGAAGCUCUUGAUCGAAGCCCCGGUAAACGGCGGCCGUAACUAUAACGGUCCUAAGGUAGCGAAAUUCCUUGUCGGGUAAGUUCCGACCUGCACGAAUGGCGUAAUGAUGGCCAGGCUGUCUCCACCCGAGACUCAGUGAAAUUGAACUCGCUGUGAAGAUGCAGUGUACCCGCGGCAAGACGGAAAGACCCCGUGAACCUUUACUAUAGCUUGACACUGAACAUUGAGCCUUGAUGUGUAGGAUAGGUGGGAGGCUUUGAAGCGUGGACGCCAGUCUGCGUGGAGCCAACCUUGAAAUACCACCCUUUAAUGUUUGAUGUUCUAACGUUGGCCCCUGACCGGGGUUGCGGACAGUGUCUGGUGGGUAGUUUGACUGGGGCGGUCUCCUCCCAAAGCGUAACGGAGGAGCACGAAGGUUAGCUAAUCCUGGUCGGACAUCAGGAGGUUAGUGCAAUGGCAUAAGCUAGCUUGACUGCGAGCGUGACGGCGCGAGCAGGUGCGAAAGCAGGUCAUAGUGAUCCGGUGGUUCUGAAUGGAAGGGCCAUCGCUCAACGGAUAAAAGGUACUCCGGGGAUAACAGGCUGAUACCGCCCAAGAGUUCAUAUCGACGGCGGUGUUUGGCACCUCGAUGUCGGCUCAUCACAUCCUGGGGCUGAAGUAGGUCCCAAGGGUAUGGCUGUUCGCCAUUUAAAGUGGUACGCGAGCUGGGUUUAGAACGUCGUGAGACAGUUCGGUCCCUAUCUGCCGUGGGCGCUGGAGAAUUGAGGGGGGCUGCUCCUAGUACGAGAGGACCGGAGUGGACGCAUCACUGGUGUUCGGGUUGUCAUGCCAAUGGCACUGCCCGGUAGCUAAAUGCGGAAGAGAUAAGUGCUGAAAGCAUCUAAGCACGAAACUUGCCCCGAGAUGAGUUCUCCCUGAGACUUUAAGUCUCCUGAAGGAACGUUGAAGACGACGACGUUGAUAGGCCGGGUGUGUAAGCGCAGCGAUGCGUUGAGCUAACCGGUACUAAUGAACCGUGAGGCUUAACCUU